Molecule: non-coding RNA, 30 nt
Filed under: Mus musculus (house mouse)
Lineage: Eukaryota; Metazoa; Chordata; Mammalia; Rodentia; Muridae
Source: RNAcentral
UGAUAUGACACGUUUACAACAGAUGGCCUG